UGGUCCUAAUGAUCUGAUUACUUUUCAUGAUUUUCAUAUGAUAUGAUAAUCAUUUAAAAGUG
Molecule: ribosomal RNA, 62 nt
Filed under: Succinea caduca
Lineage: Eukaryota; Metazoa; Mollusca; Gastropoda; Stylommatophora; Succineidae
Description: partial 16S small subunit ribosomal RNA
Source: RNAcentral